RNAcentral lists this ribosomal RNA (253 nucleotides) under uncultured bacterium. RNAcentral's name for it is "partial 16S ribosomal RNA". It matches the Rfam family "Bacterial small subunit ribosomal RNA", at positions 524 to 776 of the family's 1533-position model. The record is from RNAcentral.
GACAUAGGUGGCGAACGUUAUCCGGAUUUAUUGGGUUUAAAGGGUGCGUAGGUGGUCUAUUAAGUCAGUGCUGAAAUAUCCCGGCUUAACCGGGAGGGUGGCAUUGAUACUGAUGGACUUGAGUGGAGUCGAGGUAGGCGGAAUUGACGGUGUAGCGGUGAAAUGCUUAGAUAUCGUCAAGAACACCGAUAGUGCAGACAGCUUACUAGGCUCUAACUGACACUGAGGCACGAAAGUGUGGGGAUCAAACAGG